This 498-nucleotide ribosomal RNA is filed under the name uncultured bacterium. RNAcentral describes it as "bacterial SSU rRNA". It matches the Rfam family "Bacterial small subunit ribosomal RNA", at positions 8 to 507 of the family's 1533-position model. The record is from RNAcentral.
AGAGUUUGAUCCUGGCUCAGAUUGAACGCUGGCGGCAUGCUUUACACAUGCAAGUCGAACGGUAGGGUAGCAAUACCUGAGAGUGGCGAACGGGUGAGUAAUGCAUCGGAACAUGCCUAUUAGUGGGGGAUGGCCCGGCGAAAGCCGGAUUAAUACCGCAUACGAUCUAAGGAUGAAAGCAGGGGACCGCAAGGCCUUGCGCUAAUGGAGUGGCCGAUGUCAGAUCAGCUAGUUGGUGGGGUAAAGGCUCACCAAGGCGACGAUCUGUAGCUGGUUUGAGAGAACGACCAGCCACACUGGGACUGAGACACGGCCCAGACUCCUACGGGAGGCAGCAGUGGGGAAUUUUGGACAAUGGGCGCAAGCCUGAUCCAGCAAUGCCGCGUGCAGGAUGAUGGCCUUCGGGUUGUAAACUGCUUUUGUACGGAACGAAACGGCCUUGGCUAAUACCUGGGGCUAAUGACGGUACCGUAAGAAUAAGCACCGGCUAACUACGUG